GCCAUGCCGCGUGCAGGAUGACGGCCCUAUGGGUUGUAAACUGCUUUUAUACAGGAAGAAACCUUUCCACGUGUGGAAAGCUGACGGUACUGUAAGAAUAAGGACCGGCUAACUCCGUGCCAGCAGCCGCGGUAAUACGGAGGGUCCGAGCGUUAUCCGGAAUCAUUGGGUUUAAAGGGUCCGUAGGCGGGUCUAUAAGUCAGGGGUGAAAGUUUGUGGCUCAACCAUAAAAUUGCCCUUGAUACUGUAGGUCUUGAGUUAUAGUGAAGUUGCCGGAACAUGUGGUGUAGCGGUGAAAUGCAUAGAUAUCACAUAGAACACCAAUUGCGAAGGCAGGUGACUAACUAUAUACUGACGCUGAUGGACGAAAGCGUGGGGAGCGAACGGGAUUAGAUACCCCGGUAGUCCACGCCGUAAACGAUGGAUACUAGCUGUCGGGACUUCGGUCUCGGCGGCCAAGCGAAAGUGAUAAGUAUCCCACCUGGGGAGUACGUUCGCAAGAAUGAAACUCAAAGGAAUUGACGGGGGCCCGCACAAGCGGUGGAGCAUGUGGUUUAAUUCGAUGAUACGCGAGGAACCUUACCAGGGCUUAAAUGUACAUUGCAUAGCGUAGAGAUAUGCUUUUCUUCGGACUAUGUACAAGGUGCUGCAUGGUUGUCGUCAGCUCGUGCCGUGAGGUGUCAGGUUAAGUCCUAUAACGAGCGCAACCCCUACCGUUAGUUGCCAGCAUGUAAUGAUGGGGACUCUAACGGGACUGCCGGUGCAAACCGUGAGGAAGGUGGGGACGACGUCAAAUCAUCACGGCCCUUACGUCCUGGGCCACACACGUGCUACAAUGGCCGGUACAGAGGGAAGCCACCACGUAAGUGGGCGCGGAUCUAUAAAACCGGUCACAGUUCGGAUCGGGGUCUGCAACUCGACCCCGUGAAGCUGGAAUCGCUAGUAAUCGGAUAUCAGCCAUGAUCCGGUAAAUACGUUCCCGGGCCUUGUACACACCGCCCGUCAAGCCAUGGAAGCUGGGAGUGCCUGAAGUCCGUCACCGUAAGGAGCGGCCUAGGGCAAAAUCGGUAACUAGGGCUAAGUCGUAACAAGGUAGCCGUACCGGAAGGUGCGGCUGGAACACCUCCUUUCU
RNAcentral lists this ribosomal RNA (1132 nucleotides) under uncultured Flavobacteriaceae bacterium. RNAcentral's name for it is "bacterial SSU rRNA". It matches the Rfam family "Bacterial small subunit ribosomal RNA", at positions 391 to 1533 of the family's 1533-position model. Lineage: Bacteria; Pseudomonadati; Bacteroidota; Flavobacteriia; Flavobacteriales; Flavobacteriaceae. The record is from RNAcentral.